GAUCAGCCACACUGGAACUGAGACACGGUCCAGACUCCUACGGGAGGCAGCAGUGGGGAAUAUUGCGCAAUGGGCGAAAGCCUGACGCAGCCAUGCCGCGUGUGAAGAAGGCCUUAGGGUUGUAAAGCACUUUCAAUUGGGAAGAAAGGUUGCGUGUUAAUAGCACGUAGCUGUGACGUUACCUUUAGAAGAAGCACCGGCUAACUCCGUGCCAGCAGCCGCGGUAAUACGGAGGGUGCGAGCGUUAAUCGGAAUUACUGGGCGUAAAGCGCGCGUAGGCGGUUUGUUAAGUCGGAUGUGAAAGCCCCGGGCUCAACCUGGGAAUUGCAUUCGAUACUGGCCGACUAGAGUACGAGAGAGGGAGGUAGAAUUCCACGUGUAGCGGUGAAAUGCGUAGAUAUGUGGAGGAAUACCGGUGGCGAAGGCGGCCUCCUGGCUCGAUACUGACGCUGAGGUGCGAAAGCGUGGGUAGCAAACAGGAUUAGAUACCCUGGUAGUCCACGCCGUAAACGAUGUCUACUAGCCGUUGGGAGACUUGAUUUCUUAGUGGCGCAGCUAACGCACUAAGUAGACCGCCUGGGGAGUACGGCCGCAAGGUUAAAACUCAAAUGAAUUGACGGGGGCCCGCACAAGCGGUGGAGCAUGUGGUUUAAUUCGAUGCAACGCGAAGAACCUUACCAGGUCUGGACAUCCUGAGAACUUUCUAGAGAUAGAUUGGUGCCUUCGGGAACUCAGAGACAGGUGCUGCAUGGCUGUCGUCAGCUCGUGUCAUGAGAUGUUGGGUUAAGUCCCGUAACGAGCGCAACCCUUGUCCUUAUUUGCCAGCACGUAAUGGUGGGAACUCUAAGGAGACUGCCGGUGACAAACCGGAGGAAGGUGGGGACGACGUCAAGUCAUCAUGGCCCUUACGACCUGGGCUACACACGUGCUACAAUGGAACGCACAGAGGGUUGCAACCCCGCGAGGGUGAGCUAAUCCCACAAAACGUUUCGUAGUCCGGAUCGGAGUCUGCAACUCGACUCCGUGAAGUCGGAAUCGCUAGUAAUCGCGGAUCAGAAUGCCGCGGUGAAUACGUUCCCGGGCCUUGUACACACCGCCCGUCACACCAUGGGAGUGGGUUGCUCCAGAAGUGGUUAGCCUAACCUUCGGGAGGGCGAUCACCACGGAGUGAUUCAUGACUGGGGUGAAGUCGUAACAAGGUA
Molecule: ribosomal RNA, 1202 nt
Filed under: metagenome
Description: bacterial SSU rRNA
Rfam family: Bacterial small subunit ribosomal RNA
Source: RNAcentral